This 468-nucleotide ribosomal RNA is filed under the name uncultured bacterium. Its description in RNAcentral is "partial 16S ribosomal RNA". It matches the Rfam family "Bacterial small subunit ribosomal RNA", at positions 28 to 507 of the family's 1533-position model. The record is from RNAcentral.
GACGAACGCUGGCGGCGUGCUUAACACAUGCAAGUCGAACGGCAAGGCCCUGCUUUUGUGGGGUGCUCGAGUGGCGAACGGGUGCGUAACACGUGAGUAACCUGCCCUUGACUUUGGGAUAACUUCAGGAAACUGGGGCUAAUACCGGAUAGGAGCUCCUGCUGCAUGGUGGGGGUUGGAAAGUUUCGGCGGUUGGGGAUGGACUCGCGGCUUAUCAGCUUGUUGGUGGGGUAGUGGCUUACCAAGGCUUUGACGGGUAGCCGGCCUGGGAGGGUGACCGGCCACAUUGGGACUAAGAUACGGCCCAGACUCCUACGGGAGGCAGAAGUGGGGAAUAUUGCACAAUGGGCGGAAGCCUGAUGCAGCAGCGCCGCGUGCGGGAUGACGGCCUUCGGGUUGUAAACCGCUUUCGCCUGUGACGAAGCGUGAGUGACGGUAAUGGAUAAAGAAGCACCGGCUAACUACGUG